This is a long non-coding RNA of Daucus carota subsp. sativus, 3124 nucleotides long. RefSeq lists it as uncharacterized. The transcript has 4 exons. The record is from RefSeq and is a predicted model, not a curated record. Lineage: Eukaryota; Viridiplantae; Streptophyta; Magnoliopsida; Apiales; Apiaceae.
CAUAUAUAUAGUUUUACUCCAAUAGAAACCUCCUUAUCCUAGAAACUAAAAACCAAGCUGAAAUAUCACUAAAUCCUAAAGCAAAUACCACUAAAUUCUUAAACAACCCCAUCUCCACCUUCAUCUUCACCAAACCCACUUCCAUCUUCACCAACCCCACCUCCACUACCACCACCUCCGUCGUCGCCUCCUUCAUAACCACUACUACCUCUAUGCCGCCCGCCCCCUCCAUAACCACCACCUCCAUCUCCACCUCCACCUCCACCUCUAUUAUUUCCCUAACAACACAACCUCCACACCUCCAUCUUCACCAACCCCAUCUUAAUAGAUGCUUCAACCUCCUUCAACUUCGUUCAUACUUCUUUCUCCACCCCGACUCAACUUCAAACGCGAAGCCGCCACUAUUCCGGCAACACUCCAACCCCCCACUUCAAGCCGCCCAAACCUCCGCUAGAAUCAUCCUUCCUCCAUCUCCACCUUCACCUCCACCAUCUCCACCACUAUCACCACCAUCUGAAUCGAAAACAUGAACAGAUCUGGAGAUUCUAAGCUGGAACAUAUCUGGAGAUUAAGUUUUCACUAAUUCCUGCAACACAGAUCACUAAAUCCCAAGGAGAAUAUCACUAAAUUGUACUGAGAAUAUCACUAACUUGUAUUGGUUUCUAGUUUUUAUUUUAAUAUUGGUUUCUAUUUGAUCAUGAGCCUAUAUAUAUAUAGGGUGCUAAUCUUGUACAAACUGUUUUAUUGUACAAACUACAAACUAGGCCCAACCCGACAACUUAGCUCUCGGCCCAGUUAGCGUUCGGCCCACUUUCUGAUUACAACACGACUACGACUAGUCUGAAAAAACAAAAAAGAAAUUUAAAUACAGACAGAAGAAACCAUAGACAGGCAUAUAGACACAAAACAGUUACACUCAUCGCUCCUCUUACUGUUCAUCUCUCUCAAACACAAGGUAUAAUCACUGCUAAACUUGCUUCUAAUUUUCGAUUUCUCACCGUUUUUGCAAUUAUUACAUGUUUAACUCGUUCGUUUUGAACAUAUUUUGCAAAAACAGGGGAAAUCGCAGUGGAGAUCAGCCUCGUACUCAAUCGGAACGAUAUCAGCUUCAAAUUCUUCAAAUAGCAACUAGUUGUCUAUAUAACUCUGAAAGCAAAAAAUUAUGGCUAGGACUAGAGGAGGUAUGUUAUUUAGGGUUUUGUAAUUUUUUGUUUUUAUUUUGCUUAAUUUGUGCUGUUAUUACUGCUCUUAUUUAUGUAGAAAUUGUUUCCUCUUUGAUUUGCAUUAUAUAUGAUUUAUGAUUUGAUUUCGUGUUGAAUACUGAUUAGAGUUUAUAAUGUUUAUGAUUUAUGAUUACUGAUUAGAGUUUACGAUUAGAAAUGUUUAUGGUAUUUUGGACCAUAUAGAAUAUUGGAGUCUGGUUGAUACAUUAGAUUUGUGUACGUAUGUAUAAUUGUGUAGUUAGCUGCAUAUAUUGUACUCUAGUUAGCUGCAUACUCUGUAGUUAGCUAAAUAUAGUCAUAAAUAAAAAACAUGAUACAGGUGCAGCUAGAUAUAGUACUCUGUAUGUAUAAUUUGUGAUUGAUGUAUAAAAUAUUAAUGGUUGAUGCUUUAUAAAUUAGAGAUUAAUGCCUAAUAUAAUUGUGUUUGCAGAUGUAUGCUAAUAUAAAAUAUUAAUAUAAUUGUGUUUGCAGAUGCCUAAUAUAAAAUAUUAAUGGUUGAUGCUUUAUAAAUUAGAGAUUAAUGCCUAAUAUAACAUUAGACCUGUGUACAUGUGUAUAAUUGUGUUUGCAGAUGUAUGCUAAGAAAUAAAUGGUGGGGGAUUUGUUGUUCUGUGUUGUGCAUAAAAUCCUUCGUCUCUCUUGUGUGUAAAGUAUAUAUGAUUAGUGACUCUCUCAUGUCCACAUUGCAUAUAAUACUAUUGUUUAUCUUCUGGAAUUACAUAUUAUGGUACAUCUCUGUUCAUAUCUAGAUAGCAUUAAGUUGCAUCUAGCCACGUAUCCCUCUGGCCACGUAUCCAUAACGGGGUGGGACUGAUUUGUACCUUGUAGCGUGGCGAGGCAUGAGAGACAAAAGGGGUGUGUGUUGCCCCCUGCUGAAGUUGACUCUUAUCAUUAUACACAUAAGAUUGUUCUAAUUAUUACUACUAGGCAUUAUCCACACCUUAAUCUUCUGUCUUUCAAUGUAUGUUCACCAUCAUAAUCAGAUUUCAUCAAUUACUUAAUCAUGAUAUUAUUUGGUAGUUUUUUAUUUAUAAAUUACUAAUUAUAUGAUUAAUGCCUUAUAAAUUAGUGAUUACUAAUAUAUGCAUCGAUAUUUUUUAGAAACUAUCCACUCUUGCUUCAAGUUUUAUUAGUGAUUAACAUAUUUGAUGUUGGUAUUAUAUUCGUUUAUGGCUUUCUAGAAAAAAUAAUAUUACUAGUUCAAUAGCUAUGUACAUAUAUUCUUUACUUAACGCCUCUGCAAGAAAAAAAAUUCAGGACAUAGAGUGCAACUGCGAAGAAGUUCAAGACUACAACGUUGUAAGACAACCUUCAGCAAUACAAUAAACGAUCCAAUUAACCUUGAAGAAUCUCCAGUUGAUAGGACUAUGGAACAUGACGAGCACACCAGUACUCCGAACAAAUCUGAAGGAAGUGCACCAGAAAAAUUUAAGCGAUUACGGCACAAAGUGACAGCUGGAAAACUAUUUCACUCUGAUGUGAGGAUGAGCAAGAGUCAUAUUCAAUUCUAGAAUUAUAUAGGACUGAAUAUGAAGCUGGACAACUUGAAAAGCAAGCUGCACAACUUGAAAAUCAAGCUGACAAACUCAACCACAAGAUCAAGCAGCACAAACUCAACCACAUGAUCAAGCUCCACAAGAUCAAGAUACAGAACCACAAGAUCAAGCUGCACAAGAUCAAGAUACAGAACCACAAGAUCACAAUCAAGCUGAAGAUGAUCGAGAUCACAAUCAAGAUGAACAGGAAUCUCAAGAAGAAGCUCAAAAUGAACAUGAAUCUCAAAAUGAACAAAAAGCUGACAAUGUAAAAGUUAGGAAGUGGAAAAGAAAAAAGACUGAAGGGGUGGAUACACACAAUGCUCGUGAUCAUCCUGUAACAAAAAGGCCAAACAUUAAGCUGCC